GCAGCUUGGCCUGUUUCAUCAGCUCACCUCGUUGCCUCCCGAGGGUCCUCCUGGACAUGAGGUGCAACUGAGGACAGAGUUAUGCAUGACAGAUUCCUCCACUGAACGCUGGCGCCUCUUGGAGGGAUACUCCAUGGAGUAGCCACGGCCACGCUUGCUGUUUCCAGCCAGCGCAGCUGCGAGCUCGUGCUUCUGUCCAGGGUGCGCCUAAUAGACCAAAA
Long non-coding RNA from Hippocampus comes (tiger tail seahorse), 221 nucleotides. RefSeq lists it as uncharacterized. The record is from RefSeq and is a predicted model, not a curated record. The transcript has 2 exons. Lineage: Eukaryota; Metazoa; Chordata; Actinopteri; Syngnathiformes; Syngnathidae.